RNAcentral lists this ribosomal RNA (2078 nucleotides) under Triticum aestivum (bread wheat). Its description in RNAcentral is "partial small subunit ribosomal RNA". Lineage: Eukaryota; Viridiplantae; Streptophyta; Magnoliopsida; Poales; Poaceae. The record is from RNAcentral.
AGGCCAAGCUGCUCACGCCCGAGGAGGAGGCGCUCCGGCGCAACACCGACUGCGUCUACUUCCUCGCCUCGCCCCUCACCUGCAAGAAGGGGAACCAAUGUGAUUUUCGUCACAGUGAGGGUGCCCGGAUGAACCCUAGAGAUUGUUACUACUGGUUAAAUGGCAAUUGCUUGAAUCCAAAAUGUUCAUUUCGCCAUCCGCCAAUUGAUGGUAUGUUUGGUGCUCCAACUCCUGGAAUACCUGCAGUUUCUUCACACUAUGCUGCUUAUAACUCGGGCAAGCAGAUGGUCCCGUGUUAUUACUUUCAGAAAGGGAACUGCAUCAAAGGUGAUAAAUGCCCUUUUUCCCAUGGACCGCAGCCCGCUGGCAAUAAUCCACCAGAACAGGUGGCGAAGGUUUCUUCCUUUCCUUUGGAGCAGCCUCAGACCCAAAAGAAUGAUUUUUUGGGUGUUAAGGAGUUUGCGCAGACAAAUCAUCUAAUUCAGCAAGGUGGCCCAAUAAUUGGCGACAGGUCCAAGUCAGUUAAUAGGGUUGCAGCGAAUUUCGCCAGGACAGCAGCAGCUGCAAUACCAGCUGACCUAGCUUCCAGUGCAGUGAAAUCUUUGCCCAAGUCAGGGAGGGUAAAAAACAGCAUGCCAGCAGCAAAUAAAAGUGUCGGAACCUCUUCAGGCGAGGAUCAUCCCGAGUGCUAUCAGAACAAUCUUCCUGUGGAAACUGAUCCUAUGCAAGAUUGGAGUCAACCUUACCAAACACCUCCUCAGGAUGACAUGCCCGAGGACAGUAGAGAUGCUGAUGACUUAUUGGGGGAGUCUUCGCCUGGUUUUGAUGUUCUUGUGGCCAACGAUGCAGAUGCCGGUGCUUAUAUGCACGAUCCUGACGAUUUUGGAAGGGAUAUAUAUCCAGUAGAAGAUUAUGAAUAUGCUCCGGCUGAUUUUGAAAUCCAGUCUCAUCAUGAAAGAGAGCUAUUUAACGGAAUGGGUGAGCAAGGACCGAUCGGACAAAUGUAUGAUGGCUAUGACAGGAAACGUCGUAGAACAUCUUCUGAGAGGAACUUGGACAGACCUUCCUAUUCAGAAAGGAGGUCUCGGCAGAGAGACACUGGCCCUGUUGAGAUAGAUGGGUCAGAUUUACGUCACCGGCUCCGCAGGAGAAAAAUAAAUGGGUCUCCAGGCGUCAGCCCGGAACGCAGUGGAGAGUCGCGUCGGAGGGAUGACCGCUACAGGGAAAGGGCAUAUGAUGGUCACCGUACACACAGAGAUCGCCAUCAGGGCCCUCGAGGGAGCACUCUAAGCUCCCGUCUGCAAGGCAGAAUAAAGCUUCCUGGAAGAUCACCUGAUAGAGUAGAUGCUCGCUCUGAGAGAGAGCGAGAUAGAAGACAACUCCGGGACAGGCUGUCUCCAGUUAUGCCUAUGGAUAUUCAGGGAGGCAGGCAUCGGGAGGCAGGGCAUCAUCAAGAGAGGAUCCGGCAGAGAUCAAGCGAGCGUGCUUCAAGUGCCAGGAUCGCUGAUGGCAAGCAUUCAAGACGGAAUGUAACAGAUUCACUCAACUUCGCCAGCCGGAAAGACUUUGGUCCAGAGUCUAGGAAGGCGAAUGGAAGUGUUCAAUCUGAAGCAUCUCUUGAUUUUGAAGGCCCAACCCCUCUCAGUGUCAUCUUACAGAGGAAACGACAGGCUGCAAGCGGCAAUGGCAAUGGCUCAUCUGCCCACAAUGUGAAAGAAGAUAAAUCUGCUGUGGUCUCUCACAGGCAGGCUCAAUCUCCGGCUGAAGCCGAGAAGGAGGGGUACGACAACACUAUCAGUUCAGAAGAAUACAAGAGUAGAUCAGGUGAUGAAGAAUAUAAAGAGGAAGGCCAGGUCCCUGCAUCUUCGUCACACGGUGACAAAGCUGAGGCUGAAGAUAUGAUUGAAGUGGAAAAUCAAGAGGCUGAUAACUAUGAGCAGAGGCAGGGUGAGUCAGAGUAUGAGGCGACUGAAGGCUACGAGUACAAAUCCGAAGAUGAGAAUGCAUAUCAAGACGACGAGGAAGAGUUUGAGGAUGACGAUGAUUUUGCCCGGAAAGUCGGGGUCGUCUUCUCUUGA